RNAcentral lists this ribosomal RNA (513 nucleotides) under uncultured bacterium. Its description in RNAcentral is "partial 16S ribosomal RNA". It matches the Rfam family "Bacterial small subunit ribosomal RNA", at positions 28 to 523 of the family's 1533-position model. The record is from RNAcentral.
GAUGAACGCUGGCGGCGUGCCUAAUACAUGCAAGUCGAGCGAACGGAUAAGGAGCUUGCUCCUUUGAAGUUAGCGGCGGACGGGUGAGUAACACGUGGGUAACCUACCUAUAAGACUGGAAUAACUUCGGGAAACCGGAGCUAAUGCCGGAUAACAUUUGGAACCGCAUGGUUCUAAAGUAAAAGAUGGUUUUGCUAUCACUUAUAGAUGGACCCGCGCCGUAUUAGCUAGUUGGUAAGGUAACGGCUUACCAAGGCAACGAUACGUAGCCGACCUGAGAGGGUGAGCGGCCACACUGGAACUGAGACACGGUCCAGACUCCUACGGGAGGCAGCAGUAGGGAAUCCUCCGCAAUGGACGAAAGUCUGACGGAGCAACGCCGCGUGAGUGAUGAAGGUUUUCGGAUCGUAAAACUCUGUUAUUAGGGAAGAACAAAUGUGUAAGUAACUGUGCACAUCUUGACGGUACCUAAUCAGAAAGCCACGGCUAACUACGUGCCAGCCGCCGCGGUAA